UACGUAGGGUGCGAGCGUUGUCCGGAAUUAUUGGGCGUAAAGGGCUCGUAGGCGGUUCGUCGCGUCGGGAGUGAAAACUCAGGGCUUAACCCUGAGCCUGCUUCCGAUACGGGCGGACUAGAGGUAGGUAGGGGAGAACGGAAUUCCUGGUGUAGCGGUGGAAUGCGCAGAUAUCAGGAGGAACACCGAUGGCGAAGGCAGUUCUCUUGGCCUUACCUGACGCUGAGGAGCGAAAGCGUGGGGAGCGAACAGG
This 253-nucleotide ribosomal RNA is filed under the name uncultured bacterium. Its description in RNAcentral is "partial 16S ribosomal RNA". It matches the Rfam family "Bacterial small subunit ribosomal RNA", at positions 524 to 776 of the family's 1533-position model. The record is from RNAcentral.